RNAcentral lists this transfer RNA (72 nucleotides) under Capra hircus (goat). It matches the Rfam family "tRNA". From Rfam's summary of the family: Transfer RNA (tRNA) molecules are approximately 80 nucleotides in length. Their secondary structure includes four short double-helical elements and three loops (D, anti-codon, and T loops). Lineage: Eukaryota; Metazoa; Chordata; Mammalia; Artiodactyla; Bovidae. The record is from Rfam by way of RNAcentral. RNAcentral also lists the same sequence under 2 other names.
UCCCUUGUAGCUCAGCUGGUAAAGAAUCUGCUUGCAAUGCAGGAGACCUGGGUUCAAUCCCUGGGUUGGGAA